GACGAACGCUGGCGGCGUGCUUAACACAUGCAAGUCGAACGGAAAGGCCCUGCUUUUGGGGGGUGCUCGAGUGGCGAACGGGUGAGUAACACGGGAGUAACCUGCCCUUGACUUUGUGAUAACUUCAAGAAACUGGGGCUAAUACCUGAUAGGAGCUCCUGCUGCGUGGUGGGGGGUGGAAAGUUUCGGCGGUGGGGGAUGGACUCGCGGCUUAUCAGCUUGUUGGUGGGGUAGUGGCUUACCAAGGCUUUGACGGGUAGCCGGCCUGAGAGGGUGACCGGCCACAUUGGGACUGAGAUACGGCCCAGACUCCUACGGGAGGCAGCAGUGGGGAAUAUUGCACAAUGGGCGGAAGCCUGAUGCAGCAACGCCGCGUGCGGGAUGACGGCCUUCGGGUUGUAAACCGCUUUCGCCUGUGACGAAGCGUGAGUGACGGUAAUGGGUAAAGAAGCACCGGCUAACUACGUG
This 468-nucleotide ribosomal RNA is filed under the name uncultured bacterium. Its description in RNAcentral is "partial 16S ribosomal RNA". It matches the Rfam family "Bacterial small subunit ribosomal RNA", at positions 28 to 507 of the family's 1533-position model. The record is from RNAcentral.